GGGGGGGUGGCUCAAGUGGUAGAGCACAUGCUUCCCAUGCAUGAGGUCCUGAGUUCAAUCCCCAGUACCUCCU
Molecule: non-coding RNA, 73 nt
Organism: Vicugna pacos (alpaca)
Lineage: Eukaryota; Metazoa; Chordata; Mammalia; Artiodactyla; Camelidae
Source: the annotation of a RefSeq genome assembly